AUUUAAAUUAAAAAAAUUGUGGAAAAAAUAUAAAAAGGGUAGUCAAUUUAAUCGUAUACUUCCUAUAAAAUGUAACGUCUUUAAUUUUAAUUAUUAAAAGUAUAAUUUAUGUUAUAUACCUUGUUCUACAUUAAAACAAAGUCGAUUCCUAAUAAGAUUUAUUGUCUAUCAACUUAUAAAAUAUAACUUUUAACUCAUAUCCUGUACGAGUGGCUCAUUCAUCUUGUCUAAAGUGUCCAUAAUAUCCUCAAAGGAUUCCUCAAGAGGAGGUACAUUUUCAUUUGAAUUUAAUUGCUCAAACUCAAAGAAAAGUUUGACUUCCUCUGGAUAGUUGUCGCUCAUUUUUCUUUGCACACGAUUAUGCAAAGAAAGUGAACUAAUAAAAGGAUCACUGCUGUGUAUUGCACGCAUAAAUACAUCGACCAGAUUGCUCUCUCUAGUGCAUUUGCGUGCAUGGUAUUCCCUAUCUUUCCGGAAUAUUUUAUGGCGUGCUUCUCCGCACUCUUCCCCUAUACUUCCUAACGGAACAGGAGUGUUCAGAAUUAGUUCUCCAGCAUGUGCUAAAAUUUUAUGUACAGUUGCUGGUAUGUAGUAUCAGCUAUACAAAUUAAUAAACUUAUAAUAAGUAUCCUUACAAUAUAAACUAAUCGUUUCUGCGUUAAAAGGCCGUUCACUAUUGAUAGCUAUUAAUAUAUUUCUAAACCGCCUUAUCAAGUCCUCAUCAACACCUAACGCUUCACUUGCAAGUUUAGGGUUGGAAAAUAUUCGCCUGCAAACAUUUCCUGUAGUGCUUGUGCCUGAUGAACCUGCUCGAACUUGGUCUACUUUCACUCCAAAUUUAGUAAAUAAAUCACGCAAAACAAUGCGUUUUCUAUUAUUGUAUGCCUCUCUGUAAUGCGCAGUCACUUUCCAUUUUGUAAAAUCUAAUCUGUAUGAUAUAUGCAAAAUACACUCUAAAACUCUUAUCCAACAGUGCAGGGGUGAUAUUCCAUGAAUCAAAGACCCCGGAGAAGGUUGGAAUCCGUUAUCGAUGUAUUUUACAUUCUGCAUUUCUGUGGGCUUUGAUCCACAUACCGGGCAGCAAGACGUUGGAAUUUGAGUGAUGUAUGAUAAGAUUUUUCCGUCAAUCAUACUCAAGACAAAUCUAAACUCUACAAUUACUGAUUUUUCCCUGUUUUCAGUUUCGAAUAAAUAUGGCCGAAGUGCUUCAAUUUCUGCUUCAAUUUCAGAUUUUUUAUUAAUCACUAAGUCACGAUUUUCUUUUGCAAAGAUCAUAGAAAUCGGUCGACAAAAUCGGACACUUUGAGGAGUUAAAUUUGACCACAUGAUUUCAUUUGAAGAAUCACCUUUGACAGUUAAGUUGAUGGGACUUAAUGAUGUUAUCAACACAUUACUAUCGUCGGCAGUUUCAUUAGAAUAAUUCUGAUGAUAUUGUGAAUGGCCUGAUGACCCGUCCAUACCCCAUGCCAUCAGUGAAAUUAAUUUUAAGUGGUUGUGUUUUCGGCUAUCCAUAUAGGCAAAUAUUUUGUCCUUUUCCAUUCUGACAAUGCUUUCUGUAGUCAUAUGUACAAGUGGUUGUAAAUCAACUUUCACAGAGCUUUCAGUUACAUGUAUUGACUCUGCCGACGGGGAACAUGUUUUUUUAGCUUUAAGUAUUUCCAUGUAGCUACGGAACUUUGAUGGACACUCUUUCCUAAUGAUACAAUAUUGUUUUUUGGAGAAAUUUCCUUCUAUCAAAAAUGAUAAGGCUUCUUCUCCUGAUUUCAUUGCAGGAGUAGAACAAUUAACCAUUUCAUUUCAUUUCAUUUCAUUUCAUUUAUUAAUACAAUAUCCGCCAUCAAGGCUAAAUAAGGCAGACUUAAAACUAAAUAAACCCUAACAAAUAAACAAAAUAAUUCAUGAAAAACUAAGCCUAACUAAACUAGUCUAGACCUAGCAAAAAAAUUAAAGAAAAAAAACAUAGGUAGAGCGUAGAGACUAUCAAAACUUAAUGAAACUUAGAAGAAUAAUUAAAGAGAAUUAGAAGAAAAAAUACGGUUACGGAAAGAGUUGAGAGAGGAGUCGAAAUCAAAGAGAUAGUAAAAGUGGUUAAACAACCUGAAAUAGGAUAGAAUAGGAUCAUUGAAAGUAUAAAGAGUAUGACGUGUUUCAAUUGACAGAGGAUCACGAGGACGAAGGGAACGAGAGGGAACAUACUACGAGAUGGACGAGAGUAAAUCAGGAGCAUCAGUAUCAGAAAGUAAUAAGCCACCAAUAAAACAUGCCUGAGACACUUGGCGGCGGAAGCUUAAAGAGUGAAGAUUGUUUGUUAACGCAUUUACAACAUACGUAUUUUUUUGCUGUGUUGCGAUUUUUCUUGCAAGCAUCAAUGCCUCAUCUACGGAUUCACAUUUAACUGAUGAAGACAUUUGCGCUAUUCUUCUUCGUUUUUGCCUGUUUGUAAGUUCACUAAAGAGUUUUUUUGACUGUAUGAUGGUGAUUUUUUCUCUCUUAAAGUCACAGAGAAAUUGUGUGUUCAACCACGCAAAAUUAGCCCUAUCAAAUUUGUUCCUAUCGCUGUUCGUUUUUUUCCACAGAUGCUUGGCUCGUCUUUCCAGCAAGUUAAGUUUUUGCUUUACUGCAUCUUCAUCAAUAUCUGACGAUUCCAAUGUUUCGCAAACGAAACGAAAAGCAUUCUCUACGUUCAGUUUAGCUGAAUUUUGGAAGUUAAACUGCAAAACAAGCUCCCGGUUGGUAAUUUGGGUUACGUUCUGUAUUAAUGGAAAAAAUAUUAGAUGUGCGUGUUGAACGCAAUUGAAGAAAUCGUUAAAUAAAAGUAUUUCAAUCGUUGGUCUGUAUUAUCUACCUGCAUAAUGUUAUUAAAUUGUUAGGACAAGAUAAAAGUGCCCAAAUUCACUAGCUGCGGAAUUUAUACGGUCUGGAAUAUUUUUCACUUGUGAUCAAAUUAACGUCGGUCUUGCUACUACGAUACGCAUCAGAAUCAAAAAUAUCUAACGCAUUGUGUUAUCAGUGUGCAUUAAUAUUCGUACUCUCUCAUGAGAAUACGCUAAGCUUAACGAUUUUUAUUGUAUUGGUCUAACGAUCAGUCGAUCCUUACUUUUACUACUACUUGUAUAUCUGUAUCAGUAUGCAUUUCAAUUGAAGUAGACUUUAUUUGUCGGUGUAGAUACUCAAAUAGUACCGUUAGCCUACGUUUCAUUUAUUUGGCUGUUUGUAUUGCAUGGUUUCCAAUGCAAUGAACAACUGUCCACAUAUUUAUAACAAUGAUCCUUUUGAAUAGCCACCUCAGCCAAUCACAUGUAUCCUGGUGCUGAGUUGUUUAUUUGAGGAAAAUAUUGUAAUAAACAUGGGGACAGUUAUUGUUCGGACUAGUAAACCCAGGAUAGAUUUAGAGAUUAACGAACCCUUCGUAUGAUUAUUUGCAAUACAAUACUUAUAGCAAGCAACAGAUAGUGUUUGCUUUUGCUCAAACAGAAGAAAAAAAUAGAUAAAUGUUAUCACUUUUAUUUUAGUUUGUUGGUUAUUUAAAAACAGUAAGAAAAAGGGGGAACUAAAUUUAUCAAUACAAGUACAAAACUAUUCAAUUGUAGGUGGUUGAAAAUAAUAAAAAACUUCUUCUUCUUAUUUGAUGUAGUAAGUCUAUACCUGUGUAGGCAACGUUGCGGCUAAAAUGUCUUUGACUGAUUUGUGAGUCCAUAACAAAUUGACCAGGUUUGCAUAUAGUGAAGCAGGAGGAAGGGAGCUCGAACUGUACGGGGUUUGAACCCAUGCAGGGUAUGUUGUUAGAUUGUAAAAAAUGACAACUGUACCUCAAGAAUAACCACAGUGUAGUUAAUCGGAAAACAAUGUCGUAUUUUUAGCUCUGUUUGUUGCAUUUAUUAUUUCAAUCAAUCAACUUUUAAUUUGCUGCAGCGCUUAGAGGGGACAAAAGGGGACCGAAAUUUUUUCACAGAAGUUGUAGAAAGUGUUAAACUUUAAUUCAAUGUGGGUAGCAAAAACAGGAAGUUACAGGAAAUAAAAUGGCGCUCUAUAAUAUUGGCUUAUUGGUAUAUUUUUCAGCUUUUUCUAUUUAUAGUUUGUAGUAGCUUUUUUAUUCGUCACAGUAGCUUAAGUCUAUUAACAUAUUCUUAAAGACAAAAAAAAACCUUUCCAACGAUAUAUUAUUUAAAUUUUUAGGUAGAACACAAACGAAGCUUUAAGCAAAUACAUUAUGUCAGUGGAUACGGCUUAAAAACGGCCAAUUAGCCAAGACUUUUAGAUUCAAAGCGUCAGAACUUUUGAACAAAUCUAGAAAUUCAUUAAAAUAUCAACUUUAUACUAAACAUCAAUGCUAGUUUAAGUUAAAAAUAAAAUGGGUAGAAAUAAACAGAAAAAAUACUUUUCCAUAAAGUCCGCCUUUAGACCACUGUGGGUCGUGCCGAACCCCGUUCGGGUUUUGCUUCGGCUUCGGGUUUGCUUCGGCUUCGGGACCCGACGGAUCACUUGAAUAAUUUCGCCAACUCAGCUUCAAAGCCAGCUUCAAUCUCAGCGGAUCUCUUAGUGCUGGUGACCGGUGGGAACAGUCAAAAGCCGAAGAUUUUAUAUUGACCUUUCGUUUUUUCUAUCUGUCUCUCGCUCUAAUUUGAGUGAUUUUCCAUUCGUGAGUAUCCACGAGCUCCCUCCCAACCAGCAAAACCGUAGCUAUUGGAAAACUUUCCUGUGUGCCAAAGCGAGAGAGCAUGUCUUCUUUUUCUAGAUUUUGGACGGCACAACGCCGAUCGUGUGGCCUAUGAACGAAAAACGGGAGAAGGGGAAACCGAUAUCCUUCGCGUGACACACACGCAUGCAUCGGUAUGCGUAUUUCGCUGAACCGAGACUACACAUCUCUCUCGAUCUCCCAUGAUUUUUUUUGCUAUCGCGCUCAUACGGGUGUUAGGCAUCCUCAGUCUGUCCAGAACUUUCACUGUGGAAGGAUGUGUUGGAGUGAUGUGUGAUUUCUUGUGCCCCGUACUUUGCUCGCUUACGUUUUGUGCCGUGUUCCUUCUUUUUCAAUUAUGGAAUGAUUUAUCCUUGUAAAUUUCUAAGUUACAGUGCACGCGCAUGUUAAUCGACGGAAGGAAAACGUUGUCCGGUUUUAAAAUAUAAAGAUAUAAUUACAGCUCUUUCGUAGAAGAGCGCACUUCAAUGACGCCUAGGAUACGGCUAAACAUGCGCAGCACCAGUCCGUGACGUCAU
This is a long non-coding RNA of Anopheles gambiae (African malaria mosquito), 5214 nucleotides long. RefSeq lists it as uncharacterized. The record is from RefSeq and is a predicted model, not a curated record. The transcript has 3 exons. Lineage: Eukaryota; Metazoa; Arthropoda; Insecta; Diptera; Culicidae.